This 450-nucleotide ribosomal RNA is filed under the name uncultured bacterium. RNAcentral's name for it is "bacterial SSU rRNA". It matches the Rfam family "Bacterial small subunit ribosomal RNA", at positions 354 to 796 of the family's 1533-position model. The record is from RNAcentral.
GUGGGGAAUUUUGGACAAUGGGCGCAAGCCUGAUCCAGCCAUGCCGCGUGAGUGAAGAAGGCCUUCGGGUUGUAAAGCUCUUUCGGCCGGGAAGAAAUCGUGUUCUCUAACAUAGGACAUGGAUGACGGUACCGGACUAAGAAGCACCGGCUAACUACGUGCCAGCAGCCGCGGUAAUACGUAGGGUGCGAGCGUUAAUCGGAAUUACUGGGCGUAAAGCGUGCGCAGGCGGUUUUGUAAGACAGAUGUGAAAUCCCCGGGCUUAACCUGGGAACUGCGUUUGUGACUGCAAGGCUAGAGUACGGCAGAGGGGGGUGGAAUUCCUGGUGUAGCAGUGAAAUGCGUAGAUAUCAGGAGGAACACCGAUGGCGAAGGCAGCCCCCUGGGCCUGUACUGACGCUCAUGCACGAAAGCGUGGGGAGCAAACAGGAUUAGAAACCCUAGUAGUCC